Vigna radiata var. radiata (mung bean) is the source of this 778-nucleotide long non-coding RNA. RefSeq lists it as uncharacterized. NCBI's taxonomy places the organism in Eukaryota, Viridiplantae, Streptophyta, Magnoliopsida, Fabales, Fabaceae. The transcript is spliced from 2 exons. The record is from RefSeq and is a predicted model, not a curated record.
UAUAUACGGAUUUUUGAGCUUACAUACGGAUUUUGGCUGUAGGUAACAACGAUUUUUCUUGUAGUGCCCGUUAUUGGGUCGCUAUAGGCCCACCCAUUAAAAAAGUCUAAUCUCACACUCGAGAUGUAUAUACCCCCAUUAAAAAAGUCUAAUCCCGCACUCGAUAUGUAUAUACCCCGGCGUGAGAGGUGUGUUGGAAGUUUCACAUCGAUUAAAGAAAAGGUCAUUUAAGUGUAUAUAAAUGAGUGCAAAUCUCACUUUACAAGCCGGUUUUGUGGGAUUGAGUUAGGCUUAAACUCGACUUCUAACAUCGAUCUAUCGGUACAACAAUUUUCCCUAUGUAGACAGAAGAGGAUAAAAAGAUACCUUUUCUAUGAGUUUGAGAACUUAAUAUCCUGCGCAGACAAGCGACAAGACCGUGUACGAACAUUUUGACGCGCCAUGGAAUUCGAGGUGUGGAUGUUUAUACCUAUAAUUUCUUUAUAGAUGCAUUAUGCAAAGAAGGAAAGGUCAAAGAAGGCAAAAAUGUGUUAACUCUAAACAAGCCAAAAAUUUGUGAGCUGAUGUGAAGAAAGCUGGUGUAGAACUUACUAUUGUUAUCUUAACACAUUAAUGUAUGGGUAUUACUUAGUAACUCCUGACUUUUACAGCUAAAAUGUCACGAUUAAUCACGAUUAAUGGACUAAUGAAAGAGUGGAUGCGGCCCUGAAUCUCUUUCAGGAAAUGAAUAGAAGUAUGGUUCCUGAGAUAGUGACUUAUACUUCUCUUAUCCAUGGUU